This 470-nucleotide ribosomal RNA is filed under the name uncultured bacterium. Its description in RNAcentral is "SSU rRNA". It matches the Rfam family "Bacterial small subunit ribosomal RNA", at positions 26 to 518 of the family's 1533-position model. The record is from RNAcentral.
AGGACGAACGCUGGCGGCGUGCUUAACACAUGCAAGUCGAACGGAAAGGCCCUUCGGGGUACUCGAGUGGCGAACGGGUGAGUAACACGUGGGUGAUCUGCCCGCACUUUGGGAUAAGCCUGGGAAACUGGGUCUAAUACCGAAUAGGACCAUGGCAUGCAUGUGCUGUGGUGGAAAGCUUUUGCGGUGUGGGAUGGGCCCGCGGCCUAUCAGCUUGUUGGUGGGGUUAAGGCCUACCAAGGCGACGACGGGUAGCCGGCCUGAGAGGGUGUCCGGCCACACUGGGACUGAGAUACGGCCCAGACUCCUACGGGAGGCAGCAGUGGGGAAUAUUGCGCAAUGGAGGCAACUCUGACGGAGCAACGCCGCGUGCAGGAUGAAGGUUUUCGGAUCGUAAACUGCUUUUCUCGGGGACGAGCAAGGACGGUACCCGAGGAAGAAGCCCCGGCUAACUACGUGCCAGCAGCCGC